GGGUUCGGUGCGGCGGCCGGUCUUCCAAAGGACCACCGGGGAGAAAGAACCCCCACCAAACCCCACCCUUUCCCUCCCGGGCCGGACGCUCACUCGUGCGAGUGAAAGUCACCAACUGGGCUGGAUUCGGGAGGGGUUGCCUGCUUUACGCUCGGCUCGACCGGCAUAUGCCACCAGACAUGCGUCGGCCCUCGCUGGGACGGCAAUCCCAAGACGAGGGCCUGACCACAAGGAAGAAGCAACCUUCCCG
This 250-nucleotide non-coding RNA is filed under the name Streptomyces vietnamensis. RNAcentral describes it as "Streptomyces sRNA 4677". It matches the Rfam family "Streptomyces sRNA 4677". Rfam says of the family: Located in the intergenic region between anti-sigma factor SCO4677 gene and a putative regulatory protein gene SCO4676. scr4677 expression requires the SCO4677 activity and scr4677 sRNA itself seem to affect the levels of the SCO4676-associated transcripts. Lineage: Bacteria; Bacillati; Actinomycetota; Actinomycetes; Kitasatosporales; Streptomycetaceae. The record is from Rfam by way of RNAcentral.